AUGACAAAGCCCAAUACCAGCAGCCUGCCGAGCUUCUUCUGCAUAGCUUGUGCAGCUGUUGUCAUCCUAGGCAGAACCUGCAGUUGCUUGCAGUUCACUUACCCCAACUUCAACGCAAGCAACAGGGAUGAUUUCAGCUUCAGCCCUGGCUCAGGAAUCUCCAACAACUCCCUGCAGAUCACGCCGAACGCCGGCAACAUGACCCACCGGUCGGGGAGAGUGGUGUACGCCAAGGAGACCCUCAAGCUGUGGAACAGCAAGCGCACGGCGCUCAACUCCUUCAGGACAGAUUUGAUGCUCAACAUCCUCCCACAGAACGGGACUGGAGAAGGUAUGGCCUUCGUGCUCACCAAUAAUCCGUCGUUGCCCAGCAACAGCAGCGGUCAGUGGCUGGGUGUGUGCAACAACCAGACAGACGGCGUGAAGACGAACCGAGUAGUGGCCGUGGAAUUUGACACGAGGAAGAGCUACAAGGAUGACCUUGACGGCAACCAUGUCGGCAUCGACAUCAACAGCAUCAAAUCUCUUCGGCAAUACCCGCUUAAUAAUCUCUCCAUCUUCCUCUCAACUGGGUCAGAUGUAUGGGUCAGUAUCAGGUACCACGGCACAUUACAGUUACUUCGAGUAUUUCUAGUCCAGUACAGCAUCCGUGGACAGCAUCUUUUCAAAGGAGAUAUAUACAUUGAUUUGUCACAGUAUCUAGUGGACGACAUAUAUCUGGUGUUCACAGGUUCCACAGGCGACGCCACACAACUGAACCAGAUAAAGUCAUGGAACUUCACCACAGUAGACAUCGAUGUCAAAGUUAGAAGAGGGCAUUGGAGAAAGGUGCUUUUGGCUCUGGUUACAUUGCUUGUGUUCUCUAUAUGUUUGUUUGCUGGGCUGUUCAUGUGGAGAAGGCUGACGCGGCGGAGAAGGCUCGCCUACCGCAACCUGGAGAAGAUGAUCGACGCACAUGGUCCGGUCAAAUUUAAGCUCAGGGAGCUCAGGCGUGCGACUGCCAACUUCAGUCCUACCCGCAAGCUCGGCAGAGGAGGCUUUGGCACUGUUUACCUUGGAUACGUCGAUGGGAUAAACUUGGAGGGGGCCGUCAAGCGGGUGUCGACGGACAAGCAGGAAGACACCAACCGGGGAGAGAAGGAGUUCGUGGCGGAGGUGAACACGAUCAGCAAGCUGUCACACCGGAACCUCGUGAAGCUGAUCGGCUGGUGCCACAAGAAGGGCGAGCUGCUGCUUGUCUACGAGUACUUCCCCAUGGGAAGCCUUGACAAGCUCCUUUACGCCAGAGAAAGGACCGCGUCGUCCUCGUCCAUGUCGGCGUCAACGCACACCCCGGAGCUCACAUGGGAGCGGCGGUACAAGAUCAUCCGCGGCGUGGGUCGGCGCUGGACUACCUGCACCACGGGAGCAGCAAGCGGAUCCUGCACAGGGACGUCAAGGCCAGCAACGUGA
This 1452-nucleotide ribosomal RNA is filed under the name Triticum aestivum (bread wheat). Its description in RNAcentral is "partial small subunit ribosomal RNA". The record is from RNAcentral. Lineage: Eukaryota; Viridiplantae; Streptophyta; Magnoliopsida; Poales; Poaceae.